This 1341-nucleotide long non-coding RNA is filed under the name Anas platyrhynchos platyrhynchos (common mallard). Its description in RNAcentral is "lncRNA (ENSAPLG00000021284.1)". The record is from RNAcentral. Lineage: Eukaryota; Metazoa; Chordata; Aves; Anseriformes; Anatidae.
ACACAAGCCCUGGGGCUGGGGGGAUUUUGGGGGCUGUGCCCCACUCCCAGCACCCUGGCUGCCUGCCCGGUGAUCCCCACACCCCACUGCAGCUCCAGGGCUUGGGGGAAAGUGCCCGGCGUUCCCAGAAGCAUCUCCUGAGCGGCCAAGCCAGCAGCAGCAGCAGUAGCCAAAGCUGGCAGGCGCUGGCUGGGGAGGAGGGGACCGGGCUGCUGGGAAACCCGGGCACGUUUUCCCUGGCUUUUCAAAGCGCUUCACAAUUUAUUUAUUUAUUUAUAUUAACUCUGCUUUCCAAAGCUGCUGAGAUGCACGAAAAAGAAACCAGCAGCGGGGUUCAGGGAGGGUCGUAACCACCCAACCAACCCCACUCCCCAGCCUCCGAGCACCUCCUCGGGGGACCUCAUCCAGCCCCCGGGGUUCUGCGGGGACGCAGCCGGUGCGCAGAGCAGCAGGGCCCAGCUCUGGCAGGCAGUUUUUCGGGUUGAGUGGGUGCCUGCUCUUCCCAGCCCACGGGAGCCAUCCCCGGCAGCGCUGUCUCCCCGCCAGGCGGCUGAUUUUAAUUCCUCCCGACUGCGCUGUCUCACCCGGCGCGCUGCUCCCGUGACAGCAUCAGGUGAGGCGCACAGCACCCGGCCAUGCAAGGCCUCCCCCUCUGAUCUCAGCUGGCCUGGUAGCGCUGAGCUGGCAGAUAACGAGGCAUGGGGUGGCUCGGGGCAAAGGGGGAGAGCUCCGGGAUGGAGCCUCCCUUCUUACAUCUACCCCCGACCCCAAAAAAAAGCGCAUCCAGGGGUGGUGGUUCGGCCCAGCGCUUUGCGCCCUGCCUCAGUUUCCCCUAUGCAAAGCAGGGCAAGGAAAAUUUGGCAACCAAACCGGCUAUGGAAAUGGCAGCGAUGUGAACCGAGGCUGCAGCACAGCCCAGGACUUUCCUGGGAGCAGGAGGGGGCUCAGGAGGUGGCGCUGGGCACCCGGGGGCUGUGCCCAGAAGUGGGGUUGGUGCCGCCGAGCCCACGCAGCGGGGUGGCAGGGCACGGAGACACCCUGCACAUGGGUUUGUCCUCGCACUGGUGGCACCAGCAGCUUCUGCGCCCUGGCACCGUCAUGCCCCAGCACCCGAGCCCCCGGGCACGUAGGGCCACGGCAUCUGGGGCCGAGGUUCCCACUCGCCACCCCUUUCCGCAGCAGCCCGGCUGCACCCAGAGGCGCCAGACGCUUGGGAAUAUGCAAGGAACGCUGCAUUAGGCAGAUGUGGGAUAACCUCGUGCCUCCCGCCCCUCCUCGCCCACAGAGCUCUCACCUCAGCCUCCGCCGGGGGCCCUGCAGCCCCCAGCCCCUGCUCUCGGC